ACGUUACUAACGACGAUAUGCUUUGGGGAGCUGUAAGUAAGCUUUGAUCCAGAGAUUUCCGAAUGGGGAAACCCAGCAUGAGUUAUGUCAUGUUAUCGAUAUGUGAAUACAUAGCAUAUCAGAAGGCACACCCGGAGAACUGAAACAUCUUAGUACCCGGAGGAAGAGAAAGAAAAUUCGAUUCCCUUAGUAGCGGCGAGCGAAACGGGAAGAGCCCAAACCAACAAGCUUGCUUGUUGGGGUUGUAGGACACUCUAUACGGAGUUACAAAGGACGACAUUAGACGAAUCAUCUGGAAAGAUGAAUCAAAGAAGGUAAUAAUCCUGUAGUCGAAAAUGUUGUCUCUCUUGAGUGGAUCCUGAGUACGACGGAGCACGUGAAAUUCCGUCGGAAUCUGGGAGGACCAUCUCCUAAGGCUAAAUACUCUCUAGUGACCGAUAGUGAACCAGUACCGUGAGGGAAAGGUGAAAAGCACCCCGGAAGGAGAGUGAAAUAGAACCUGAAACCGUGUGCUUACAAGUAGUCAGAGCCCGUUAAUGGGUGAUGGCGUGCCUUUUGUAGAAUGAACCGGCGAGUUACGAUUUGAUGCAAGGUUAAGCAGUAAAUGUGGAGCCGUAGCGAAAGCGAGUCUGAAUAGGGCGUUUAGUAUUUGGUCGUAGACCCGAAACCAGGUGAUCUACCCUUGGUCAGGUUGAAGUUCAGGUAACACUGAAUGGAGGAC
Molecule: ribosomal RNA, 721 nt
Filed under: Staphylococcus aureus
Lineage: Bacteria; Bacillati; Bacillota; Bacilli; Caryophanales; Staphylococcaceae
Description: bacterial LSU rRNA
Rfam family: Bacterial large subunit ribosomal RNA
Source: RNAcentral